RNAcentral lists this ribosomal RNA (586 nucleotides) under uncultured bacterium. Its description in RNAcentral is "bacterial SSU rRNA". It matches the Rfam family "Bacterial small subunit ribosomal RNA", at positions 1 to 585 of the family's 1533-position model. The record is from RNAcentral.
AGGGAGGUUUGUAUCCUUGGGCUCAGAUUGAACGCUGGCGGUAUGCUUAACACAUGCAAGUCGAACGGUAACAGCUCCAGCUUGCUAGAGGCUGACGAGUGGCGGACGGGGGAGUAACGCGUAGGAAUCUGCCUUACAGUGGGGGACAACUCGGGGAAACUCGAGCUAAUACCGCAUAAUCUCUACGGAGGAAAGCUGGGGUAACCUGGCGCUGUUAGAUGAGCCUGCGUCGGAUUAGCUUGUUGGUGAGGUAAAAGCUCACCAAGGCUACGAUCCGUAGCUGUUCUGAGAGAAAGAUCAGCCACACUGGAACUGAGACACGGGCCAGACUCCUACGGGAGGCAGCAGUGGGGAAUAUUGGACAAUGGGGGAGACCCUGAUCCAGCAAUACCGCGUGUGUGAAGAAGGCCUGCGGGUUGUAAAGCACUUUCAGUAGGGAAGAAGUUGCGUCCUUAAAUAGGGGAUGUAAUUGACGCUACCUACAGAAGAAGCACCGGCUAACUCUGUGCCAGCAGCCGCGGUAAUACAGAGGGUGCAAGCGUUAAUCGGAAUUACUGGGCGUAAAGCGUGUGUAGGUGGCUAAGCU